GACGAACGCUGGCGGCGUGCUUAACACAUGCAAGUCGAACGGUGAAGGGACUGGUUUUGCUGGUCCUGGAUGAGUGGCGAACGGGUGAGUAACACGUGAGUAACCUGCCCCCUUCUUCUGGAUAACCGCAUGAAAGUGUGGCUAAUACGGGAUAUUCUGGGUCUGUCGCAUGGUGGGCCUGGGAAAGAUUGCGCCUUUUUUGGUGUUUUUGGUGGGGGAUGGGCUCGCGGCCUAUCAGCUUGUUGGUGGGGUGAUGGCCUACCAAGGCGGUGACGGGUAGCCGGCCUGAGAGGGUGGACGGUCACACUGGGACUGAGACACGGCCCAGACUCCUACGGGAGGCAGCAGUGGGGAAUAUUGCACAAUGGGCGCAAGCCUGAUGCAGCGACGCCGCGUGAGGGAUGGAGGCCUUCGGGUUGUGAACCUCUUUCGCCAGUGAAGCAGGCCUGCCUCUUUUUGUGGGUGGGUUGACGGUAGCUGGAUAAGAGGCGCCGGCUAACUACGUG
This 506-nucleotide ribosomal RNA is filed under the name uncultured bacterium. Its description in RNAcentral is "partial 16S ribosomal RNA". It matches the Rfam family "Bacterial small subunit ribosomal RNA", at positions 28 to 507 of the family's 1533-position model. The record is from RNAcentral.